UUUAUCUGGUAAAGCGAAUGAUGAGAGGUCUUGGGGCCGAAACGAUCUCAACCUAUUCUCAAACUUUAAAUGGGUAAGAAGCCCGGCUCGCUGGCUUGGAGCCGUGGCAUGGAAUGUGAGCCGCCCAGUGGGCCACUUUUGGUAAGCAGAACUGGCGCUGCGGGAUGAACCGAACGCCGGGUUAAGGCGCCCGAUGCCGACGCUCAUCGGACCCCAGAAAAGGUGUUGGUUGAUAUAGANAGCAGGACGGUGGCCAUG
Molecule: ribosomal RNA, 258 nt
Filed under: Atherinomorus stipes (hardhead silverside)
Lineage: Eukaryota; Metazoa; Chordata; Actinopteri; Atheriniformes; Atherinidae
Description: partial 28S ribosomal RNA
Rfam family: Eukaryotic large subunit ribosomal RNA
Source: RNAcentral